RNAcentral lists this transfer RNA (77 nucleotides) under Brucella intermedia 229E. RNAcentral's name for it is "Ochrobactrum intermedium 229E tRNA". It matches the Rfam family "tRNA". From Rfam's summary of the family: Transfer RNA (tRNA) molecules are approximately 80 nucleotides in length. Their secondary structure includes four short double-helical elements and three loops (D, anti-codon, and T loops). Lineage: Bacteria; Pseudomonadati; Pseudomonadota; Alphaproteobacteria; Hyphomicrobiales; Brucellaceae. The record is from Rfam by way of RNAcentral.
GCACCCGUAGCUCAGCUGGAUAGAGCACCAGACUACGAAUCUGGGGGGGGUCAGAGGUUCGAAUCCUUUCGGGUGCG